AAGACACUAAUGUAAAGGAAAAUACAUCGCUUUAUCAAAGCGAAAUUGCAGGUUAAACCCCCGCGUGUCUUA
This 72-nucleotide transfer RNA is filed under the name Sineleotris saccharae. RNAcentral describes it as "tRNA-Asp". It matches the Rfam family "tRNA". Rfam says of the family: Transfer RNA (tRNA) molecules are approximately 80 nucleotides in length. Their secondary structure includes four short double-helical elements and three loops (D, anti-codon, and T loops). Lineage: Eukaryota; Metazoa; Chordata; Actinopteri; Gobiiformes; Odontobutidae. The record is from RNAcentral.